Molecule: long non-coding RNA, 2223 nt
Organism: Dermacentor andersoni
Lineage: Eukaryota; Metazoa; Arthropoda; Arachnida; Ixodida; Ixodidae
Source: RefSeq, a predicted model, not a curated record
GCUUCGUGCGCGCAUACGCACCUUCUCCUCCUCGGUACGGAAGACGCCGGCGCCAAAAAGUUUCGCGUAAAAGCUAACUUUGCGACUUAUUUUUCUUGCCUCACCCAGCAACGAGCCAACGGCACAUGAGACGCAUCCGUCAUGCGCCAGACGGGCCACUGAAGCGAGCGAGGCCAGCUGUGCAUGUGAAUUUUGCCGGUUCUGCGACCCGUCACUUUUGGAUGUGGCCUGUUUGUUAGGCGCCCGCCGUAUUCUUGCGCUCCGUCUGCAUUUCGACGAACUACAGCAAGAUCGCCUCACUCUUCUGUCUGGGCCCCUUCCUGCUGGUCAAGAUCCAGGCCUCUAGGUCCACGAUAUUUCCAUGGUCCUGGGUGCACAGUUGUAACGAAGGAGUGGAGCAGACGCAAUCACGUGAGCAGGAGCGCACACGAAAGUGUCUCCGAAAGUCCGCCAGCCAGUCAGAGGAGCUGCUAUCCGAGGACACAAUGCGAGACUUGCGAUCCCGCAUAUUCAAGUCACUACAAAUGGACCGCAAGAGGGAGAGUUCUUGGCUCUGUUUCUUAUGCUCUUGACUAUUUGACAUGCCUGUGGGCGUGCACCUGAGGAGUUCUCGUGAACUCCUAAAGAACUCUACGUGGAUGGAGCUCUCGCGUCUUUUACGCCAAGCAAAACUCUAUUGGCCGGUAGUAUGUUGUCAACAUAUAUAUGUCUAAACGAUAAAUCAAAACUACCACCAGCAUGUAGGAAAACACAUUCUUGUGGUGACUGUUCUGUAAGCCACAUAUAUCAUGCUUUACAACACAUUUUAGAAAAGAAUCAUUUUCACUACGCCAAGUAUUGAGCAGAAAUAAAAAACGAAGGUACCAGACCAUACUGCACUGUUGGCUACAGAUUAUACGUUUCAUUAGAAGACACAGUGAUAGAGCUGAUGAGUUGUUGAAAAAAUUAGUGUUUUUUUAAUGGCAGGAAAGGUUCACAAACGGCUAGUUCAUGCUGACUCACUAAAUGCGAGACUUGAACUCACCAGUUGCUAUUUGCUGCAAUGUUACUUGCACAAUCGGUGGAUUUUUCGGUGGCAGCAGAAGUAGCUGAUCGGGCCGAGAUGCAUUGGCAACGUCUGUCUGGGAAGAGACUUGACUGCUGCUCAUGGCCGGAAUCGCUGAGCCUUGGACUGCUGCAGUAUUGAAAUAAACUAGAUCGUUACAGACAAGCAUGAAAAUAUGUUCUAAUUUUGAAGGCUAAUUCUGAAGGCACCGCUACAACCUUGUUUCUUAUAUUACGCAUUUAUUAAUGAACACGUAGUGCGUCUACCGAAUAAAGUCUCAUGAAGUUGUCCCCACUUUAAAAUUUCAGAGCACUCGAAAAAUGCACAAUCUCCUAUUGAAGCCUCCAUAUUUGAUGUAUACUUCUCAACGCACUCCUGAAAAACUAAACCACAGAACUUGAGCAAAAGUCUAUUCUGUCACCUUUGAAGUUCUGAAAUCGUCACACAGUUAUUAUAAUCCACUCGAAAUAGAAAACUAAAUGCAGAUAGACUUGUGAAAACAUUUUAUCGUGUGCGACAAGAAAAUUUAAAAUCGUUAGUCAGCAUUGGGGCCAUGUCUAACAGUUGAUUCAGUUGACGAGUAACAGGCGCUCACAGUUUGUUCAAGUCAAUAAUGAAGCGUUCCAUUCAGCCACGUGGGAUGUUGUGUGUCGGAAGGCCCUCUUUUAUUCACAUCAUACAUGGGUGAUCUGCUUUCCAGGUGUCAGGCACAUAUUCUUCCUGAAAACGCUUGAUAAAGCAUUACUUACACUGCUCGAAAGCGAGUUGUCGUUCAGAAGACACAUCUUUUGGCGACUCUGUCGUACACAAGUUUACUGGCCCAUUGCAUUCAUUUACAUUCACUAAAAUCCACUGACAGGGUGUAGAGCGUACACAGAAAGCAAACAAUGUCUGAAGUUGGCAACAAAUAUCCAAAUAAAAGUGUCUAACACCACAGAAAUAAUAUGUUCUGCUCAAACAGAAAUAAAAUCACUGGCCAACACUGGUCUCUAUUGUCUACUUUUAGAAUAUUUAUUGUUUUGGUAGGAUCCUACAUGUAUUACUUGGGCAUCCAAUUCUGAGAAGCGAGUCUUACCAUAAUUGGCCUGUUUUCGUCUGCUGAAAAAAAAGUGACUAUCCUAGUUAUCGUCAAAUACCCUUUCUUUCGUUAGUCCAUUCAAUGCAGAAUAAUUAUACCC